ACCUGGGCUCCAGGUGGGUUCCCACGCUGUACAUUUGUUGCCACCCUGACCCCGGGAGGGUCGAUGCCCUGAUGACACCGAGCCCACAGCCUCAUGCGGUCAGCAGGUUAGAUUAGAAGGACAACAGGCGCUCGCGUUAGGAGUUCUGGAUCAAAGGUCAGGCAUUUGGAUACCACUCAUUGGACAUGGCAGCCGUGUGCAGAUCCAGAACAAACCUCAGCAAAAAGGUUUUGGCUGCUCUGCAGUUGUGUGGGUGCACAAGGUGACACCCACUCCUCUGAAAACGCUUCCACGCUCCGACUUCGCCGCAGUGGAAAAACCUGCCGCCUUGUGAGGAAGCAGCAGCGUGACAGUCGACGGAGGACCAACACACCUCAGAGACACUUCCAGAGAGGGGACAUACGUGAGAGGAAAGAGAACAGAUGCCUGUGCGUCGUCCUCGUGUUUGAGCCUUCCAGCGAGGAGCGAGAGGUCUCCCGCCAAGCAGCAUCUGCACCUGGUUCCGGACCGAUGACGCCAGGGGUGGAGGAGAUUCCGGUCCGGAGCAAAGUCUGAUAUUUAGAGGCUGAUGGAAGUCAAUGCGCGUAGAGCGGCCAUGCAGACGUACGGAGAUUUGUUUAUGAGAUGUAUAAAGAACAGCAAGCUCAGGUUGAAGACAGAUAUGGUGUAAAUGUGCCCAUCAACCUACUAACACAUGAGCAUCGCUGCCCGCUAAGGUGCAAAAUGCAAUGAACAGUUUCAAUCAGCACACAUUUAUGUGAAAAUGUAACAGAUUAUUAGUUUAACAUAUUAACUGAGUGCCAGUUUAUUGUAGAAAUGGUGAGAGUGUUACAUUACAGGACAGACAUUAAAAAAACACAACAAAGAGCAGUUGUUUGGAGAAG
Molecule: long non-coding RNA, 884 nt
Organism: Gasterosteus aculeatus aculeatus (three-spined stickleback)
Lineage: Eukaryota; Metazoa; Chordata; Actinopteri; Perciformes; Gasterosteidae
Source: Ensembl